UUUCAAGCUUGCAGUGGUGCUGCAUGGGAUUGGACAAGUUCAAGCCUGCUGAUUGGCUAGAAUUUGAACCUGCUAAUUGGUUCAAAUCUGAGUCUGCUAAUUGGUCCAAAUUCCAACCUUCUGUGGCCAAGGCAAAUAACUCCUGGAGCUGCUGCAAGGUAUCUAGGACAGCUGCAGGGAGGCCAGGAAGAGAGCUCACAUCCCAGCACGCUAGCUUGGACCACCUUGGGCCCACAUCCGUGUCUGAGCAGUCACCGUGCCUGGCGGUAGAAUACAGAGUGGCCAGGGCUGGACACUGGUCCAUCACAGGCUGUGACAGCCCCAACUGCAUCUUGUGCUGACCAAGGAGCCCGGGUGACAGGCUCUUAGCAACCCCUGUGACCCCAAGUCCAGCAGUGGCCACUAGGCGAGAGAGGGGAUGCAGCUGCCCCCAGAACUGGCCCCAAGACAACGUCAGUGCUUCUCAAGAAAAUUCCAAGCUGUGCAGCAGGGUCAUUUCUGGGACGCUGCAUCCAGGUCUCGCCCGAGGAUACCCAUACUCUGGUCCACGAGCAGCAGGGAAGAGCGCCGGGGCAGCUGGGGACAUGUCCUCCUCCCCUGUAAUGAGCGGGGGCUCCUUUCCAGGACCCCUGUAGCACAAAGCACCUGCUCUGAGAAGAUCUGCUGGCCCCCACUGUGUCUCCUGGGCAGCUGCUUCCUCACCUUCAUCAUCAUCAUCAUCAUCAUCAUGGGAAUAAAUGCACAGUGGGAGGCCCCAU
Molecule: long non-coding RNA, 758 nt
Filed under: Chinchilla lanigera (long-tailed chinchilla)
Lineage: Eukaryota; Metazoa; Chordata; Mammalia; Rodentia; Chinchillidae
Description: lncRNA (ENSCLAG00000024131.1)
Source: RNAcentral